Molecule: ribosomal RNA, 301 nt
Filed under: uncultured bacterium
Lineage: Bacteria
Description: partial 16S ribosomal RNA
Rfam family: Bacterial small subunit ribosomal RNA
Source: RNAcentral
CAGUCGCCACGGUAAAACGUAGUGUGCGAGCGUUAAUCGGAAUUACUGGGCGUAAAGCGUGCGCAGGCGGUUUUGUAAGAUAGGCGUGAAAUCCCCGGGCUCAACCUGGGAAUGGCGCUUGUGACUGCAAAGCUAGAGUGCGGCAGAGGGGGAUGGAAUUCCGCGUGUAGCAGUGAAAUGCGUAGAUAUGCGGAGGAACACCGAUGGCGAAGGCAAUCCCCUGGGCCUGCACUGACGCUCAUGCGCGAAAGCGUGGGGAGCAAACAGGAUUAGAGACCCGCGUAGUCCCUGUCUCUUAUAC